RNAcentral lists this ribosomal RNA (1346 nucleotides) under uncultured bacterium. RNAcentral's name for it is "partial 16S ribosomal RNA". It matches the Rfam family "Bacterial small subunit ribosomal RNA", at positions 28 to 1381 of the family's 1533-position model. The record is from RNAcentral.
GACGAACGCUGGCGGCGUGCUUAACACAUGCAAGUCGAACGGAAAGGCCCUGCUUUUGUGGGGUGCUCGAGUGGCGAACGGGUGAGUAACACGUGAGUAACCUGCCCUUGACUUUGGGAUAACUUCAGGAAACUGGGGCUAAUACCGGAUAGGAGCUCCUGCUGCAUGGUGGGGGUUGGAAAGUUUCGGCGGUUGGGGAUGGACUCGCGGCUUAUCAGCUUGUUGGUGGGGUAGUGGCUUACCAAGGCUUUGACGGGUAGCCGGCCUGAGAGGGUGACCGGCCACAUUGGGACUGAGAUACGGCCCAGACUCCUACGGGAGGCAGCAGUGGGGAAUAUUGCACAAUGGGCGGAAGCCUGAUGCAGCAACGCCGCGUGCGGGAUGACGGCCUUCGGGUUGUAAACCGCUUUCGCCUGUGACGAAGCGUGAGUGACGGUAAUGGGUAAAGAAGCACCGGCUAACUACGUGCCAGCAGCCGCGGUGAUACGUAGGGUGCGAGCGUUGUCCGGAUUUAUUGGGCGUAAAGGGCUCGUAGGUGGUUGAUCGCGUCGGAAGUGUAAUCUUGGGGCUUAACCCUGAGCGUGCUUUCGAUACGGGUUGACUUGAGGAAGGUAGGGGAGAAUGGAAUUCCUGGUGGAGCGGUGGAAUGCGCAGAUAUCAGGAGGAACACCAGUGGCGAAGGCGGUUCUCUGGGCCUUUCCUGACGCUGAGGAGCGAAAGCGUGGGGAGCGAACAGGCUUAGAUACCCUGGUAGUCCACGCUGUAAACGGUGGGUACUGGGUGUGGGGUCCAUUCCACGGGUUCCGUGCCGUAGCUAACGCUUUAAGUACCCCGCCUGGGGAGUACGGCCGCAAGGCUAAAACUCAAAGGAAUUGACGGGGCCCCGCACAAGCGGCGGAGCAUGCGGAUUAAUUCGAUGCAACGCGUAGAACCUUACCUGGGUUUGACAUGGAUCGGGAGUGCUCAGAGAUGGGUGUGCCUCUUUUGGGGUCGGUUCACAGGUGGUGCAUGGCUGUCGUCAGCUCGUGUCGUGAGAUGUUGGGUUAAGUCCCGCAACGAGCGCAACCCUUGUUCACUGUUGCCAGCACGUUAUGGUGGGGACUCAGUGGAGACCGCCGGGGUCAACUCGGAGGAAGGUGGGGAUGACGUCAAGCCAUCAUGCCCCUUAUGUCCAGGGCUUCACGCAUGCUACAAUGGCUGGUACAGAGAGUGGCGAGCCUGUGAGGGUGAGCGAAUCUCGGAAAGCCGGUCUCAGUUCGGAUUGGGGUCUGCAACUCGACCUCAUGAAGUCGGAGUCGCUAGUAAUCGCAGAUCAGCAACGCUGCGGUGAAUACGUUCCCGGGGCU